UCUCAAAAGGGACCCUAUGUUCUAACCAUGCUCUCACCAGGGCCUGACGACCUGAACAGUUCUACCCAUUCCUCGCAGCUUUGCCUGACUGUUUCACACACGUUUCCCCCUUCCCUGCCACGGCACCUCAGAACCUAACCAAAGCACCUGCACAAGGUGCCCCUGGAGAGAAGAUGUGAAGAAUGGCUGGCUGUAUGUUUUGACAGGGGAGUAAGUCCUGUCAAUUAGAAAAUGUAUUAAAAGUCUC
This is a long non-coding RNA of Suricata suricatta (meerkat), 247 nucleotides long. RefSeq lists it as uncharacterized. NCBI's taxonomy places the organism in Eukaryota, Metazoa, Chordata, Mammalia, Carnivora, Herpestidae. The transcript has 3 exons. The record is from RefSeq and is a predicted model, not a curated record.